UUUCUGCCCCAGCACCGUGACAGAUAGCGAUUUGCCCAGUAAUUUGCCCAGUGCUUGCCCAAGUCACUGGUCAAAUCACCCCCAGGCCAGGAAAUAUCUUUCCCUUUUCUCCUUCAUUUUUCUAUAUGUUUAUUCACACAUUGAGGACAAUAUGUGGGAUAGGUGUGGGGGUACUGGAGAGUAUUUAUUCACUGAUCACACCACAUUUUUACCUUUUU
RNAcentral lists this long non-coding RNA (218 nucleotides) under Manihot esculenta (cassava). Its description in RNAcentral is "long non-coding RNA (MESC_LNC007112)". Lineage: Eukaryota; Viridiplantae; Streptophyta; Magnoliopsida; Malpighiales; Euphorbiaceae. The record is from RNAcentral.